GGCCACGCCCGCCGGGAGGGACACGAGGGCCACCGUGCUGUCGGAUCCGAGGAUCAUGCCGGCGGGGAGGCGACGGUGGUGGCGGCGGCGCUCGGUGCCGAAAGCCUUCCAGAGGGAGGGGUUCGGCCCGCUCGGGAGAGAGGCCACGGGUGGAAAACGCUUGCGUUUCGCGGAGAGAAGCGAGGGUCUGAGCCUGACUUGACGAGCGAGCAGCGUCACCUGUUCUGCUGGGAACUGCACGAAGGCGUACCAUCUGCGCUGUUUGGAGAACAAACAUGAUUCUUUUUCUAGUCACAGCGAGCAACUCAUUUGCGAUUGGCACAUAUGUUUCAACUGCAGACAGAGUUCACAUUUUCAGUGUCUGUGCUGUCCUAAAUCGGUUUGCCAUGACUGCCUUGGCAAAGUUGGAUUUGUCGAGCUGAGAAUGCAGCAAAAAGGAUUUUGCACCAGCUGCUUGAGCAAGGCUAUCCUGAAUUCCUGAUUGAGAAGAAUACUGAUAUUGAUCCUCGUUGGGUAAGUGUAUGCAUAUACCCGACUUCUU
This is a long non-coding RNA of Panicum virgatum (switchgrass), 541 nucleotides long. RefSeq lists it as uncharacterized. The record is from RefSeq and is a predicted model, not a curated record. The transcript has 3 exons. NCBI's taxonomy places the organism in Eukaryota, Viridiplantae, Streptophyta, Magnoliopsida, Poales, Poaceae.